AACGCACAUUGCGCCCUUUGGUAUUCCGAAGGGCAUGCCUGUUCGAGCGUCAUUAUCACCCCUCAAGCCCGGCUUGCUGUUGGUGCCGGCGUGGCUUUAGGCCUCGUCCCGCCCAAAGAUAAUGACGGCGUCUGUGAGGACCCCUGUACACUGAGCUCUCGGGCACGUACACGGUUGGGAGUCCAGGCGCCGGUCGACGUCCGCAAGGACACUUUUUCUAAGGUUGACCUCGGAUCAGGUAGGGAUACCCGCUGAACUUAA
RNAcentral lists this unclassified non-coding RNA (261 nucleotides) under uncultured Phialophora. RNAcentral's name for it is "sequence contains ITS2". The stretch from base 1 to 52 matches the Rfam family "5.8S ribosomal RNA", at positions 103 to 154 of the family's 154-position model. The record is from RNAcentral. Lineage: Eukaryota; Fungi; Ascomycota; Leotiomycetes.